AUUGGUGUCUAUACCACCUCUAGUCUAUUCAUUGGUGUUUAUACCACCUUUGGUCUAACUCUGUCAAUAAAAACAUACCAUUGUUACUAGAUUCGCUCAACCCCUUUGGAUAUCGUGGUAUGAGUUGCACGUUCCAAUUAGCGGAAUGUUUGCAUCCCUUAUUGCCAGGGGAUGUGAUCUAGGUCGGUAAAUUGGGAGUUCUGGCAAGCAAGAAAGGGGGAAAAAAAGG
This 229-nucleotide unclassified non-coding RNA is filed under the name Hevea brasiliensis (rubber tree). Lineage: Eukaryota; Viridiplantae; Streptophyta; Magnoliopsida; Malpighiales; Euphorbiaceae. The record is from RNAcentral.